UUGGACCUCGUGGUCCUAAAAAGCUCACUCCUGAGAAGACUCGAACUCCUACUCACUGUAUACUCCAUACAUGAUGCUUGACAGACUAGACUGGGAUAUAUGUCUAAAACCAUGCUAAAACCUUCACUGGUCUUCACAAUCUGUGUGCAGCCAUAGAUAUAUAUAGUGUCACAGUCUGCCGAAUAUUGACAAAGAGCAGCUAGGGAGACCUAGAUCUAUAAUUAUGCAUCGCCUCAACACAGUGCCUUCUUAUCAGAGAUUAUCACCAAGCAAAGAUCCGGUUGCAAUAUCACGUACUUUUUUGAGGCUCAAGCUCCAUCUUCAACCUGGUGUGGAUGCACAAUUAUAAUGAGGUUUGAGUAAUUAGAUGGGAGGGGGCGGGGUUUUAUCCUGAUCUGGGCCUAUUAGAACCAGAGGAGGUACGACAGGCGUGGUGCAGCUCAAGUUUAUUAGCCUUUGAUUGAGCAAUAAUUAUCCGCCCACGUCGUAUGUUUUUGCUGAGAGUAAUCAGAGGCUAAUAAUUAUUACUUGAGCUGCACUGCGCCUGUCGUACCUCCUCUGUAUUAGAACCCAAAAAAACUCUUAAAACUCCGCCCCCUUCCCUUCCCAUUCAUAAAAUACUUCGCUUCACGGAGUUUACCAGUGCUCUAUAAUUAGGAUGUAUCAGUGAGUGUUCACAGCAACUAUUUGUAAUAUUCCAGUGUUCUAUCGUAUGAUCCCACGAGACUAGAAAAAGAGUAGACGUGCAACUACUUGCUUUUACAGAGCCAAUCCUUUGCAUUGGCGAAUGAUACUGGCAAAAAAGGGUAGGAAGAGCGGUUCAUUUGAGCUAUGCAGUGCUCUUUGUACUUUUGUUAGGAGAGGUGGUGUGCUGACUUUUCCGCUUUGUGGUAUUGAGUGCCAUAACUCCUCCCAUAAUUAUAGCUAGCAUUUUUGAAUUAAAAUUUGAUGGUACACAUGACGCGUCUCCGCCCAUGGUACGAAGACGAUCCACGUUGCGCUUACGUCCAUAUGUCAAUGGUGGCAGAGGAGCAUUUUUCCCAUCAGCUAAAUUUUCAAGGAAAUUAAUAACUACAUGCAGAUAUGUUCUAGCAUUAGCUUUGGCACCUCCAUCGAGGUAUCAGCACUGCCACCGCGGUGCUUUCAUUUUAAUAUUUAAUUCACUUGGGUUCGUUAAGGUAGGAUGGUUGAACAAAGGUAGGAUGGCGGAACGAUCCAGUGUAUGAUAGGGUACGAUAACGAUGCUCACGAGUUUUUGUGCAAUGGAUAGAGUUAGUUACAUUCGUUAUACACACUGUUCUGAAUAAUGCUAAUAGAAGACUGACCACCAAGUACAUGGCAGUGUAUACGGAGGGAUUUGUUGUCAUUAAUUUAAGCGGCCUUUUAUAUUGAGAACUACUAAGUCCACAGUGUGUGAAACAUUAGAGUCAUAACUAGGUUCCAUAUCUUCUGUGCCAGUGUCAAGAGAGAGUAGAAUAAAAUGUAACUACGUAGCUGUUGACACUAAUUAAUCUCGGUACUCCGAGAAACAUAAUGAUGCUACCCUUGCUAACUACACCUACAAACAACAUAUAAUUAUAUCCAUUACCGCAACGCUCCUUGGAGGGUGAGUCGGACCGUGACUGUUAAUUAUAGGGUUAGGCAUCCCCUCUUUAAUUAGAGGAAUGCAAUCCCGCUGGUUAAAUAAUGAUUAUAAUUUCUCUAAGUACUUAGGGGUAAAGACGUGGCCUAGCCACCAGUCAUAGCCCACUAUUAAAGAACCAUACAAUCGAAAGUAAUCCGCGUGCAAAUAACCAUUGAGUAGAAAUGUUAACACUAGAUAGUAUUGUGUCCAGGAACAGCUGGAGUUGUGCAUGUGGAAAGUACCCACCGAUUGAAGUGACACACUCCCGUUAGAGACGAAAGAUGAUAGACUCUCAGAAUCAAGAGAAUACUCUGCCUGCUGUGCUGCUUCUGAAAGACGGGAUACAGCAUCUAUUCUGACAUCUGCUGAUUGGGGCUCAGGGAACUGGAUACUCUUGUCAUCCGUAGUUACUUCCGCCGUCUGCACGCCGUGGCAGACAAGCUCAUGCUCUGUUUGCACCCCAACACUUGGCAUGCUGAACGUAUUGUCAUCAUCUAUGCAUUUACAUAAUAUUAUGGUUUAAUUUGUAAUUGUUUAUUGUUGUAUUUAUAAUUAUGAACUGUCACCUCUCUCAGAGUUCAGACUUUUUUUGGCCUCUCUGGAAGCCUGUAGUUGCAUUAGGCGCUCUUGUGGUUAUUCCUAAUUCUUCAUUUUAUUACACCCAUUUUAGCUUCUGAAUUGGAAAUCCUUGUACCUGGCAUACGAUUUUUAUUGUUCCAUUACGCCACCACCUCAUCCCAGCUUUUAUUUGUGGUCCUGGAAGACAUACUAGCUAGCUAUAAUGUGGUCUACAAACUUUGUAUUACUGCUGCACCGUACGGUAGUAAGUACAAUAUACAUGUGAGCGCAGCCAGAGAUACGCACACACAGUGAUUGUAAACAUUGCACGUGUGCAAUUAUUGCAGCCAUACUAUCUGCAUUCUUGUGGUUAGCUUGUUUUUUAUAGUGGUUCGGCAUUCUCCACGUACAUAAAAACUAAAAACA
This is a long non-coding RNA of Halichondria panicea, 2608 nucleotides long. RefSeq lists it as uncharacterized. The record is from RefSeq and is a predicted model, not a curated record. Lineage: Eukaryota; Metazoa; Porifera; Demospongiae; Suberitida; Halichondriidae. The transcript has 3 exons.